RNAcentral lists this ribosomal RNA (468 nucleotides) under uncultured bacterium. RNAcentral describes it as "partial 16S ribosomal RNA". It matches the Rfam family "Bacterial small subunit ribosomal RNA", at positions 28 to 507 of the family's 1533-position model. The record is from RNAcentral.
GACGAACGCUGGCGGCGUGCUUAACACAUGCAAGUCGAACGGAAAGGCCCUGCUUUUGUGGGGUGCUCGAGUGGCGAACGGGUGAGUAACACGUGAGUAACCUGCCCUUGACUUUGGGAUAACUUCAGGAAACUGGGGCUAAUACCGGAUAGGAGCUCCUGCUGCAUGGUGGGGGUUGGAAAGUUUCGGCGGUUGGGGAUGGACUCGCGGCUUAUCAGCUUGUUGGUGGGGUAGUGGCUUACCAAGGCUGUGACGGGUAGCCGGCCUGAGAGGGUGGCCGGCCACAUUGGGACUGAGAGACGGCCCAGACUCCUACGGGAGGCAGCAGGGGGGAAUAUUGCACAAUGGGCGGAAGCCUGAUGCGGCAACGCCGCGUGCGGGAUGACGGCCUUCGGGGUGUAAACCGCUUUCGCCUGUGACGAAGCGUGAGUGACGGUAAUGGGUAAAGAAGCACCGGCUAACUACGUG